RNAcentral lists this ribosomal RNA (1069 nucleotides) under Klebsiella pneumoniae. RNAcentral describes it as "partial 23S ribosomal RNA". It matches the Rfam family "Bacterial large subunit ribosomal RNA", at positions 125 to 1238 of the family's 2925-position model. Lineage: Bacteria; Pseudomonadati; Pseudomonadota; Gammaproteobacteria; Enterobacterales; Enterobacteriaceae. RNAcentral also lists the same sequence under 1 other name. The record is from RNAcentral.
AACCCAGUGCAAUUCGUUGCACUAUCGUUAACUGAAUACAUAGGUUAACGAGGCGAACCGGGGGAACUGAAACAUCUAAGUACCCCGAGGAAAAGAAAUCAACCGAGAUUCCCCCAGUAGCGGCGAGCGAACGGGGAGCAGCCCAGAGUCUGAAUCAGCUUGUGUGUUAGUGGAACGGUCUGGAAAGUCCGACGGUACAGGGUGAUAGUCCCGUACACCAAAAUGCACAGGCUGUGAACUCGAAGAGUAGGGCGGGACACGUGGUAUCCUGUCUGAAUAUGGGGGGACCAUCCUCCAAGGCUAAAUACUCCUGACUGACCGAUAGUGAACCAGUACCGUGAGGGAAAGGCGAAAAGAACCCCGGCGAGGGGAGUGAAAAAGAACCUGAAACCGUGUACGUACAAGCAGUGGGAGCACCUUCGGGUGUGACUGCGUACCUUUUGUAUAAUGGGUCAGCGACUUAUAUUCUGUAGCAAGGUUAACCGUAUAGGGGAGCCGCAGGGAAACCGAGUCUUAACUGGGCGUUAAGUUGCAGGGUAUAGACCCGAAACCCGGUGAUCUAGCCAUGGGCAGGUUGAAGGUUGGGUAACACUAACUGGAGGACCGAACCGACUAAUGUUGAAAAAUUAGCGGAUGACUUGUGGCUGGGGGUGAAAGGCCAAUCAAACCGGGAGAUAGCUGGUUCUCCCCGAAAGCUAUUUAGGUAGCGCCUCGUGAACUCAUCUUCGGGGGUAGAGCACUGUUUCGGCUAGGGGGUCAUCCCGACUUACCAACCCGAUGCAAACUACGAAUACCGAAGAAUGUUAUCACGGGAGACACACGGCGGGUGCUAACGUCCGUCGUGAAGAGGGAAACAACCCAGACCGCCAGCUAAGGUCCCAAAGUCAUGGUUAAGUGGGAAACGAUGUGGGAAGGCACAGACAGCCAGGAUGUUGGCUUAGAAGCAGCCAUCAUUUAAAGAAAGCGUAAUAGCUCACUGGUCGAGUCGGCCUGCGCGGAAGAUGUAACGGGGCUAAACCAUGCACCGAAGCUGCGGCAGCGACACUAUGUGUUGUUGGGUAGGGGAGCG